GCACAUAUACGAAUACGCGGAACACGACCGGACGAUAGGCGCGCGGUAAAACGCGAAACACUCGCCGAGACGCAACACUAUGAGCGUCAACGGUGCGUUGGGACGGCGAAUCGAGGAGACCGCGGGCACAGCUCGAUAAGGCCGCGAGAACGCGCGUUUUCUAAUACGUACCGGUAGAUACGCGACGUCGUCGGGGCGGUGCGUUCGGCGACGGUUACGAUCACGUUGCGGCGUGCGGCUGUAGAG
Cinara cedri is the source of this 246-nucleotide non-coding RNA. Lineage: Eukaryota; Metazoa; Arthropoda; Insecta; Hemiptera; Aphididae. The record is from the annotation of a GenBank genome assembly.